Molecule: ribosomal RNA, 869 nt
Filed under: Phellinus austrosinensis
Lineage: Eukaryota; Fungi; Basidiomycota; Agaricomycetes; Hymenochaetales; Hymenochaetaceae
Description: eukaryotic LSU rRNA
Rfam family: Eukaryotic large subunit ribosomal RNA
Source: RNAcentral
UAACAAGGAUUCCCCUAGUAACUGCGAGUGAAGCGGGAAGAGCUCAAAUUUAAAAUCUGGCGGUCUUCGGCCGUCCGAGUUGUAAUCUGGAGAAGCGUUUUCCGCGCUGGACCGUGCACAAGUCUCCUGGAACGGAGCGUCGUAGAGGGUGAGAAUCCCGUCCAUGGUACGGACAACCAGUGCUUUGUGAUACGCUCUCGAAGAGUCGAGUUGUUUGGGAAUGCAGCUCAAAAUGGGUGGUAAAUUCCAUCUAAAGCUAAAUAUUGGCGAGAGACCGAUAGCGAACAAGUACCGUGAGGGAAAGAUGAAAAGCACUUUGGAAAGAGAGUUAAACAGUACGUGAAAUUGUUGAAAGGGAAACGCUUGAAGUCAGUCGCGUCCGGCAGAACUCAGCCUUGCUUCGGCCUGGUGUACUUUCUGUCGGACGGGUCAACAUCAGUUUUGACCGGUGGAAAAAGACAAGGGGAAUGUAGCGCCGUUUCGGCGGCGUGUUAUAGCCCCUCGUCGUAUACAUCGGUUGGGACUGAGGACCGCAGCACGCCCUUGUGGCCGGGGUUCGCCCACGUAACGUGCUUAGGAUGUUGGCAUAAUGGCUUUAAGCGACCCGUCUUGAAACACGGACCAAGGAGUCCAACAUGCUUGCGAGUGUUCGGGUGGAAAACCCUUGCGCGUAAUGAAAGUGAAAGUUGGGAGCCUCCGCAAGGGGGUGCACCGACGCCCGGCCCUGACGUUCUCUGACGGUGCUGCGGUAGAGCAAGUAUGCUGGGACCCGAAAGAUGGUGAACUAUGCCUGAAUAGGGCGAAGCCAGAGGAAACUCUGGUGGAGGCUCGUAGCGAUUCUGACGUGCAAAUCGAUCGUCAAAUUUGGG